UACGUAGGGUGCAAGCGUUGUCCGGAAUUAUUGGGCGUAAAGAGCGUGUAGGCGGCCCGAUUAGUCCGCUGUGAAAGUCCAGGGCUCAACCCUGGAAUGCCGGUGGAUACUGUCGGGCUAGAGUCCGGAAGGGGCGAGUGGAAUUCCCGGUGUAGCGGUGAAAUGCGCAGAUAUCAGGAGGAACACCAAUGGCGAAGGCAGCUCGCUGGGACGUGACUAACGCUGAGACGCGAAAGCGUGGGGAGCAAACAGG
RNAcentral lists this ribosomal RNA (253 nucleotides) under uncultured bacterium. Its description in RNAcentral is "partial 16S ribosomal RNA". It matches the Rfam family "Bacterial small subunit ribosomal RNA", at positions 524 to 776 of the family's 1533-position model. The record is from RNAcentral.